Molecule: transfer RNA, 85 nt
Filed under: Acidobacteriota bacterium
Lineage: Bacteria; Pseudomonadati; Acidobacteriota
Description: Acidobacteria bacterium tRNA-Arg
Source: RNAcentral
ACGCCCGCUCCGGCAAGUUCUGACUAAAGUGGACAACGGCCUUCUAAGCAGGGGGUCGGGAGUUCGAGUCUCCCCGGGCGCGCCA